Molecule: ribosomal RNA, 493 nt
Filed under: uncultured bacterium
Lineage: Bacteria
Description: partial 16S ribosomal RNA
Rfam family: Bacterial small subunit ribosomal RNA
Source: RNAcentral
ACGAACGCUGGCGGCGUGCUUAACACAUGCAAGUCGAACGGAAAGGCCUGCUUUCCCUUGUGGAUUGCGGGUGCUCGAGUGGCGAACGGGUGAGUAACACGUGAGUGAUCUGCCCCCAACUUGGGUAUAAGCCUGGGAAACUGGGUCUAAUUCCCGAUAGGACUGCAGGGUGGUGCCUGUGGUGGAAAACGAUUUUCUAGUGGUUGGGGAUGAGCUCGCGGCCUAUCAGCUUGUUGGUGGGGUAAUGGCCUACCAAGGCGGCGACGGGUAGCCGGCCUGAGAGGGUGGACGGCCACAUUGGGACUGAGAUACGGCCCAGACUCCUACGGGAGGCAGCAGUGGGGAAUAUUGCACAAUGGGCGGAAGCCUGAUGCAGCGACGCCGCGUGGGGGAUGACGGCCUUCGGGUUGUAAACUCCUUUCGACAGCGAGGAAGCCGCCUGGUUGGAAGGGUGGUGACGGUAGUGGUAGAAGAAGCACCGGCUAACUACGUG